CCUACGGGUGGCAGCAGUGAGGAAUAUUGGUCAAUGGACGCAAGUCUGAACCAGCCAAGUCGCGUGAAGGAUGACUGCCCUAUGGGUUGUAAACUUCUUUUAUAGGGGAAUAAAAGUAUCCACGUGUGCCUUUUUGCAUGUACUUUAUGAAUAAGCAUCGGCUAACUCCGUGCCAGCAGCCGCGGUAAUACGGAGGAUCCGAGCGUUAUCCGGAUUUAUUGGGUUUAAAGGGUGCGUAGGUUGGUUUUUAAGUCAGUGGUGAAAGUUUGCGGCUCAACCUGAAAAUUGCACUUGAUACUGGAAGUCUUGAGUAUAUUUGAGGUAGGCGGAAUGCGUGGUGUAGCGGUGAAAUGCAUAGAUAUCACGAAGAACUCCGAUUGCGAAGGCAGCAUACUAGACCUCGACUGACGUUGAGGCACGAAAGCGUGGGUAUCGAACAGGAUUAGAUACCCUUGUAGUC
This 460-nucleotide ribosomal RNA is filed under the name uncultured bacterium. RNAcentral describes it as "partial 16S ribosomal RNA". It matches the Rfam family "Bacterial small subunit ribosomal RNA", at positions 338 to 795 of the family's 1533-position model. The record is from RNAcentral.